This 65-nucleotide transfer RNA is filed under the name Drieschia cf. elegans BG-2021. RNAcentral's name for it is "tRNA-Tyr". Lineage: Eukaryota; Metazoa; Annelida; Polychaeta; Phyllodocida; Polynoidae. The record is from RNAcentral.
AAUAGAGUGGCUGAGUUAUUAAGCAGAAGAUUGUAGCUCUUCUAACGGGUUAGUCCCCUCUAUUA